UGGGGGAUAUUGCACAAUGGGGGAAACCCUGAUGCAGCGACGCCGCGUGGAGGAAGAAGGUUUUCGGAUUGUAAACUUCUUUUAUUAAGGACGAAACUUGACGGUACUUAAUGAAUAAGCUCCGGCUAACUACGUGCCAGCAGCCGCGGUAAUACGUAGGGAGCAAGCGUUGUCCGGAUUUACUGGGUGUAAAGGGUGCGUAGGCGGCUUUGCAAGUCAGAUGUGAAAUCUAUGGGCUCAACCCAUAAACUGCAUUUGAAACUGUAGAGCUUGAGUGAAGUAGAGGCAGGCGGAAUUCCCCGUGUAGCGGUGAAAUGCGUAGAGAUGGGGAGGAACACCAGUGGCGAAGGCGGCCUGCUGGGCUUUAACUGACGCUGAGGCACGAAAGCGUGGGUAGCAAACAGGAUUAGAUACCCUGGUAGUCCACGCUGUAAACGAUGAUUACUAGGUGUGGGGGGUCUGACCCCUUCCGUGCCGGAGUUAACACAAUAAGUAAUCCACCUGGGGAGUACGGCCGCAAGGUUGAAACUCAAAGGAAUUGACGGGGGCCCGCACAAGCAGUGGAGUAUGUGGUUUAAUUCGAAGCAACGCGAAGAACCUUACCAGGUCUUGACAUCCAACUAACGAAGUAGAGAUACAUUAGGUGCCCUUCGGGGAAAGUUGAGACAGGUGGUGCAUGGUUGUCGUCAGCUCGUGUCGUGAGAUGUUGGGUUAAGUCCCGCAACGAGCGCAACCCUUGCUAUUAGUUGCUACGCAAGAGCACUCUAAUAGGACUGCCGUUGACAAAACGGAGGAAGGUGGGGACGACGUCAAAUCAUCAUGCCCCUUAUGACCUGGGCUACACACGUACUACAAUGGAUGUUAACAGAGGGAAGCAAGACAGCGAUGUGGAGCAAACCCCUAAAAACAUUCUCAGUUCAGAUUGCAGGCUGCAACCCGCCUGCAUGAAGAUGGAAUUGCUAGUAAUCGCGGAUCAGCAUGCCGCGGUGAAUACGUUCCC
This 1000-nucleotide ribosomal RNA is filed under the name uncultured bacterium. Its description in RNAcentral is "bacterial SSU rRNA". It matches the Rfam family "Bacterial small subunit ribosomal RNA", at positions 355 to 1375 of the family's 1533-position model. RNAcentral also lists the same sequence under 1 other name. The record is from RNAcentral.